CUGAACAAAACAAUCGUCGCACUUGUGACUU
RNAcentral lists this non-coding RNA (31 nucleotides) under Rattus norvegicus (Norway rat). The record is from RNAcentral. Lineage: Eukaryota; Metazoa; Chordata; Mammalia; Rodentia; Muridae.